UACGUAGGGCGCAAGCGUUGUCCGGAAUUAUUGGGCGUAAAGAGCUCGUAGGUGGUUUGUCGCGUCUGCCGUGAAAGCCCGGGGCUUAACUCCGGGUCUGCGGUGGAUACGGGCAGACUAGAGGCAGGUAGGGGAGAACGGAAUUCCCGGUGUAGCGGUGAAAUGCGCAGAUAUCGGGAGGAACACCGGUGGCGAAGGCGGCUCUCUGGGACGGUACUGACGCUGAGACGCGAAAGCGUGGGGAGCGAACAGG
Molecule: ribosomal RNA, 253 nt
Filed under: uncultured bacterium
Lineage: Bacteria
Description: partial 16S ribosomal RNA
Rfam family: Bacterial small subunit ribosomal RNA
Source: RNAcentral